RNAcentral lists this long non-coding RNA (820 nucleotides) under Theobroma cacao (cacao). RNAcentral's name for it is "long non-coding RNA (TCAC_LNC005486)". The record is from RNAcentral. Lineage: Eukaryota; Viridiplantae; Streptophyta; Magnoliopsida; Malvales; Malvaceae.
UGACCCGGAACUCCCCAUCGGGCCCGUGACAACCGCCACGAGGCCUCAACAGACAUUCUUCACCCCGAAUGCCGAUUGAAACCCCGCAAGGCUUAGCAUCAACUUUCGCAUCUCCCCGGUGAGCAACAGUUAUUAAAUCUAGCAUUUCAAAAAAAUCAUAAGUCAUUUUCAAAUAAGAACAAUAAAAUAUUAUUUUCUGGCUCACAGGGGUAUUUUCGUAAUUUUUCGUCAAAAAUCUCAAAACUUGCUAAAAAUGUAGUAGGUAAGUAGAAAAUAUAUAUUUAAUGAUUUAAAAACAAUUAAGUAUCUGAAACGUUCAUUUGAAAGCAAAUUGUUGACAACUAGUACUAUUCAAAAAUAAUAAAUAAAAUAUUCUAUUUUCUCAUAAAAUAAAUUUUUAUAGAAAUAUUCAUAAAUAAUUUUUCGCACAUGAAAGUAAAGUAAAAAUUGUAUGAAUAGAAAUACAGAUAACCAAAAUAUAAGUUUUGAUCUGCAAUGACACGUGGGCUCCAAUUAACCAAGAGGAUGUAAGACUGUGAACUCUUACUUUCUAUAAUGCAGUUCCGAGCUUAGUUCUCGUCCUACUCGACUAUCUACAAACUGUCCUGAGCCUGAAAAAUGUAUAGGAAUAAGGGGUGAGAUUUUAUAAUCCCAGUGAGUAAACAGAUACCAUCUAAAGUAUCUAAAGCCGAGUAAAUAGAGACAAUUAAAAUAAGUCAUCAUAUCAUAAUUUCAUUACCUUUCAGUUCAUUUCAACCAAAUAAAAUCAAUCCAUAUAAAUCGAGUAAUCAACUUGGCUUAUGAAUUUCUUAAAACUUUG